This 108-nucleotide ribosomal RNA is filed under the name Pteropus alecto (black flying fox). The record is from RNAcentral. Lineage: Eukaryota; Metazoa; Chordata; Mammalia; Chiroptera; Pteropodidae.
CUCUACGGCCAGGUCACCCUGAAUAUGCCUGAUCUCGGAAGCUAAGCAAGGUCGGACCUGGUUAGUACUUGGAUGAGGGAUCACCUAGGAAACCAGGUGCUGUAGGUG